CCUACGGGUGGCUUCAGUGAGGAAUAUUGGUCAAUGGGCGCGAGCCUGAACCAGCCAAGUAGCGUGAAGGAUGACUGCCCUACGGGUUGUAAACUUCUUUUAUAAAGGAAUAAAGUGAGGCACGUGUGCCUUUUUGUAUGUACUUUAUGAAUAAGGAUCGACUAACUCCGUGCCAGCAGCCGCGGUAAUACGGAGGAUCCGAGCGUUAUCCGGAUUUAUUGGGUUUAAAGGGAGCGUAGAUGGGUUGUUAAGUCAGUUGUGAAAGUUUGCGGCUCAACCGUAAAAUUGCAAUUGAUACUGGCAGUCUUGAGUACGGUAGAGGUAGGUGGAAUUCGUGGUGUAGCGGUGAAAUGCGUAGAGAUGAGGAAGAAUACCGAUGGCGAAGGCAGCUUACUAAACUGCCACUGACAUUGAUGCGCGAAAGUGUGGGUAGCAAACAGGAUUAGAUACCCUAGUAGUC
This 460-nucleotide ribosomal RNA is filed under the name uncultured bacterium. RNAcentral describes it as "partial 16S ribosomal RNA". It matches the Rfam family "Bacterial small subunit ribosomal RNA", at positions 338 to 795 of the family's 1533-position model. The record is from RNAcentral.